CUACCAUGCAAGUCGAGCGGCAGCGGGAAAGUAGCUUGCUACUUUUGCCGGCGAGCGGCGGACGGGUGAGUAAUGCCUGGGAAAUUGCCCAGUCGAGGGGGAUAACAGUUGGAAACGACUGCUAAUACCGCAUACGCCCUACGGGGGAAAGCAGGGGACCUUCGGGCCUUGCGCGAUUGGAUAUGCCCAGGUGGGAUUAGCUAGUUGGUGAGGUAAUGGCUCACCAAGGCGACGAUCCCUAGCUGGUCUGAGAGGAUGAUCAGCCACACUGGAACUGAGACACGGUCCAGACUCCUACGGGAGGCAGCAGUGGGGAAUAUUGCACAAUGGGGGAAACCCUGAUGCAGCCAUGCCGCGUGUGUGAAGAAGGCCUUCGGGGUUGUAAAGCACUUUUCAGCGAGGAGGAAAGGGUCAGUUAGC
Molecule: ribosomal RNA, 420 nt
Filed under: Aeromonas hydrophila
Lineage: Bacteria; Pseudomonadati; Pseudomonadota; Gammaproteobacteria; Aeromonadales; Aeromonadaceae
Description: bacterial SSU rRNA
Rfam family: Bacterial small subunit ribosomal RNA
Source: RNAcentral